GACGAACGCUGGCGGCGUGCUUAACACAUGCAAGUCGAACGGAAAGGCCCUGCUUUUGUGGGGUGCUCGAGUGGCGAACGGGUGAGUAACACGUGAGUAACCUGCCCUUGACUUUGGGAUAACUUCAGGAAACUGGGGCUAAUACCGGAUAGGAGCUCCUGCUGCAUGGUGGGGGUUGGAAAGUUUCGGCGGUUGGGGAUGGACUCGCGGCUUAUCAGCUUGUUGGUGGGGUAGUGGCUUACCAAGGCUUUGACGGGUAGCCGGCCUGAGAGGGUGACCGGCCACAUUGGGACUGGGAGACGGCCAGGAUUCCUACGGGAGGAAACGGGGGGGAAUAUGCACAAUGGGCGGAAGCCUGAUGCAGCAACGCCGCGUGCGGGAUGACGGCCUUCGGGUUGUAAACCGCUUUCGCCUGUGACGAAGCGUGAGUGACGGUAAUGGGUAAAGAAGCACCGGCUAACUACGUG
This 467-nucleotide ribosomal RNA is filed under the name uncultured bacterium. RNAcentral's name for it is "partial 16S ribosomal RNA". It matches the Rfam family "Bacterial small subunit ribosomal RNA", at positions 28 to 507 of the family's 1533-position model. The record is from RNAcentral.